Molecule: ribosomal RNA, 492 nt
Filed under: uncultured bacterium
Lineage: Bacteria
Description: partial 16S ribosomal RNA
Rfam family: Bacterial small subunit ribosomal RNA
Source: RNAcentral
AGUGAACGCUGGCGGUAGGCCUAACACAUGCAAGUCGAACGGCAGCACAGUAAGAGCUUGCUCUUACGGGUGGCGAGUGGCGGACGGGUGAGGAAUACAUCGGAAUCUACUUUUUCGUGGGGGAUAACGUAGGGAAACUUACGCUAAUACAGCAUACGACCUACGGGUGAAAGCAGGGGAUCUUCGGACCUUGCGCGAUUGAAUGAGCCGAUGUCGGAUUAGCUAGUUGGCGGGGUAAAGGCCCACCAAGGCGACGAUCCGUAGCUGGUCUGAGAGGAUGAUCGGCCACACUGGAACUGAGGCACGGUCCAGACUCCUACGGGAGGCAGCAGUGGGGAAUAUUGGACAAUGGGCGCAAGCCUGAUCCAGCCAUACCGCGUGGGUGAAGAAGGCCUUCGGGUUGUAAAGCCCUUUUGUUGGGAAAGAAAAGCAGCAGGUUAAUACCCCGCUGUUCUGACGGUACCCAAAGAAUAAGCACCGGCUAACUUCGUG